RNAcentral lists this transfer RNA (83 nucleotides) under Nocardioides luteus. RNAcentral describes it as "tRNA-Arg". The record is from RNAcentral. Lineage: Bacteria; Bacillati; Actinomycetota; Actinomycetes; Propionibacteriales; Nocardioidaceae.
CCGACCACUGGUUGGAGGAGACCACCUCCUUCGCCUCCGGCGUGAAGUCCGCCACCGCUUGGUCCAAGGCCGAGUGGCUGGUC